This 505-nucleotide ribosomal RNA is filed under the name uncultured bacterium. RNAcentral's name for it is "partial 16S ribosomal RNA". It matches the Rfam family "Bacterial small subunit ribosomal RNA", at positions 28 to 507 of the family's 1533-position model. The record is from RNAcentral.
GACGAACGCUGGCGGCGUGCCUAAUACAUGCAAGUAGAACGCACAGUUUAUACCGUAGCUUGCUACACCAUAGACUGUGAGUUGCGAACGGGUGAGUAACGCGUAGGUAACCUGCCUGGUAGCGGGGGAUAACUAUUGGAAACGAUAGCUAAUACCGCAUAAUAUUAAUUAUUGCAUGAUAAUUAAUUGAAAGGUGCAAUUGCACCACUACCAGAUGGACCUGCGUUGUAUUAGCUAGUAGGUGAGGUAACGGCUCACCUAGGCGACGAUACAUAGCCGACCUGAGAGGGUGAUCGGCCACACUGGGACUGAGACACGGCCCAGACUCCUACGGGAGGCAGCAGUAGGGAAUCUUCGGCAAUGGACGAAAGUCUGACCGAGCAACGCCGCGUGAGUGAAGAAGGUUUUCGGAUCGUAAAGCUCUGUUGUAAGAGAAGAACGGAUGUGAGAGUGGAAAGUUCACACUGUGACGGUAUCUUACCAGAAAGGGACGGCUAACUACGUG